Salmo salar (Atlantic salmon) is the source of this 810-nucleotide long non-coding RNA. RefSeq lists it as uncharacterized. Lineage: Eukaryota; Metazoa; Chordata; Actinopteri; Salmoniformes; Salmonidae. The record is from RefSeq and is a predicted model, not a curated record.
AUGUGUCCGACGCUAUGCUGGUUGCGUGGUUACCUCGUAGCGGUCGCGAAGGAAGGAGGACGCCGGAAGUUCUAGUUCUAUUUCAGCUCAGAAGCGCUCGCUCAGUCCGCGCAAAAUGAUUACCUCAGAAUUGCUCUCCAAGGAGGGUGUUUUUGACGGUGACAACCUGCUGCUUCAGAGGACCGAAAAGACUGGAAAGAAAACACUAUUUCGUUAUCAUAUAUUUGUAUUUAUAUAAGAAAGUAUUGUUAAAUAGGAAUAAAGAAUUUAAGCAUUUUUUUGAUUGAUGUUAUAUUGUCACUGCUAGCUAACAUUAUUUAUGUAUAUCAGCCAGACAGCUUUAUUUAGCUAACGUUAUCUAAGUUAGCUAGCUAACGUUUAGUGUUAUUAUAGCUGCUUUUUGUUUGCAUGUAGCUUGCACUUCAAUGGCAUCCCUCGAGGAGAUGUUAUUGUAUUUUUCCAACCAGGCGAAGUACUAUGAAGACACACUGAUCUCGACAAGAGGCGCAACAUUCAUAGGGGGCAGAGAAAUGCACAAUUCAGGGUCAGUACUUGUCUAGCCUGCCAGAAGUUUAAGAGGGUGAAGACUGUGGCGCCGAAGUUGAAGCCCAUCAAAAUUGUUUCACCAUGGCACAUGAUCAGCUGGGCACUUGGCACCAUUUUCCAAUCCCGAUUCCAGUCCCUGUUCUGGGUCCAUUCUCCCAAGAUGUCCACACCCUACACAACAGAGGUCAGCGUCCACUGCUUCUGUCAGGAGAUACGUGAGUGAAGCCCUCCUGGUUUUGACCCUUGCCUGUCCUGACGCCGAUU